Molecule: ribosomal RNA, 384 nt
Filed under: uncultured bacterium
Lineage: Bacteria
Description: bacterial SSU rRNA
Rfam family: Bacterial small subunit ribosomal RNA
Source: RNAcentral
GAUGAACGCUAGCGGAAGGCUUAAUACAUGCAAGUCGAGCGGUAGGUGGCUUCGGCCAUUGAGAGCGGCGCACGGGUGAGUAACGCGUACAUGACCUGCCUGUCAGAAGGGGAUAGCCCUGGGAAACUGGGAUUAAUACCCUAUGGUAUUGAUAUUAUGAAUGAUAUCAAUUAAAGUUGAGGCGCUGACAGAUGGAUGUGCGUCUGAUUAGCUAGUUGGUAGGGUAACGGCCUACCAAGGCGACGAUCAGUAGGGGCGUGAGAGCGUGGUCCCCCACACGGGUACUGAGACACGGACCCGACUCCUACGGGAGGCAGCAGUAAGGAAUAUUGGUCAAUGCCCGCAAGGGUGAACCAGCCAUUCCGCGUGGAGGAUGAAGGCCCU